CCUACGGGAGGCAGCAGUGGGGAAUAUUGCACAAUGGGCGCAAGCCUGAUGCAGCAACGCCGCGUGAGGGACGACGGCCUUCGGGUUGUAAACCUCUUUUAGUAGGGAAGAAGCGAAAGUGACGGUACCUGCAGAAAAAGCACCGGCUAACUACGUGCCAGCAGCCGCGGUAAUACGUAGGGUGCAAGCGUUAUCCGGAAUUAUUGGGCGUAAAGAGCUCGUAGGCGGUUUGUCACGUCUGCUGUGAAAACUGGAGGCUCAACCUCCAGCCUGCAGUGGGUACGGGCAGACUAGAGUGCGGUAGGGGAGAUUGGAAUUCCUGGUGUAGCGGUGGAAUGCGCAGAUAUCAGGAGGAACACCGAUGGCGAAGGCAGAUCUCUGGGCCGUAACUGACGCUGAGGAGCGAAAGCAUGGGGAGCGAACAGGAUUAGAUACCCUGGUAGUCCAUGCCGUAAACGUUGGGAACUAGAUGUAGGGACCAUUCCACGGUUUCUGUGUCGCAGCUACGACAUUAACGUUACCCGUCCGUCGGGAGGUACGGCCGCCGACGACGUAAACGUAACGAAACGGAAGUUAGUACGGCGUGAGACGUGCCGAACGGACGACGACGAGGGAGGUAGG
RNAcentral lists this ribosomal RNA (621 nucleotides) under uncultured bacterium. RNAcentral describes it as "bacterial SSU rRNA". The stretch from base 1 to 526 matches the Rfam family "Bacterial small subunit ribosomal RNA", at positions 338 to 873 of the family's 1533-position model. The record is from RNAcentral.